CUUUGGAUAUCCUUGUAUCUCAUGAGUUGGCCACAUAUGACCCUGCGGAAGACAAGUACAGUCUACCAUGAAGUGUAUUCGUCACCGGAGGAUCCAGACCAACAACACGCAAUUAUGAUGCGUGCUAUAUUAAGUCGUGUCAAUAAAGAAAAUGCGAGGGGAGUGUCCGCACACCUGAUCGCCUGAUAGCAUGUCCGGCGUCAUAUCCCCAUCGCAUCAGUGUUGUUUCAUGUUAUAAUUAUGUAACGCUAGUUAAUCUAGAAGUACGUAUUGCGUAUCAGUGGUCAUGUGUGACCCGCGUCUAAAUCGCCUUGUAUCGUUAUUAUUUACUGUUUCGCCUAUGCCUUAUCCCGGCAACAUAUUAGGUGUAUUCGGGCGUCCUGCAUUUUUGGCGUCCGUUAUGGAUUGUAAUGAUGUUUGUCGAAGUUUGAAUAAUGUUGUGUCUCUACAACUAGCAUCAUUUGUUGUUUUUAGUGGUCACCUUAUGUUCUUCCAACCGAUCGAAGCAGAUCUUGCACAUCCUACAUGCAUGAUCCCGAAGAAAGCCGUUGACCUCAUUGAGAGCAAUGCGGGCGUCUUGGACAAUUCAGGCGUCAUCCUUCUGCAUGAUGAUGUAGGAGCUCAUGUAACGACAUCGUUCAAGAAAUCAAAAGAUGGCAGGCUCGUCAUUCAAGGAGGUUUUCGGAAGUAUGUCGAAAAUCUCGAAAUGAAGUAAGAUGAUAUUGUGGUCAUCACUUUUCACAAACGCGCUGGUUCUGCGUCCAUGACCGUCCGGGUGUGCAUCUUAUCCUAAAACACCUACGUCGUGCUAGUGUCUGUUUAAGGCAGCUUAUUAGUCCCUAUGUGCCUCCCCGCUGAUCGUGCAGCAUCUCAAUGCCUGCCCUUUUGUGAGAACUCAUGAACCUGGAACAUGUAACCUUCUGUGUUGGUAUGUGACUAUGUGACUUUUCCACCUAUGCAUGUCCGUUGACUAUAUUUCCGAUCCAUUGGCAUAUUUUCUACUAAUGGCGAUCUGCUCUGCAUUGCUAAACUAUAAUUUCCCAUGGCUGUAUGUUUAAGUUGGAUGCAACGCACGUAAUGACAUGAAUGGAAUUUGUGAUUUGUGUUGCAACGUCGGAAAUUCUUCUUACAUGAUCACAGCGCGUAUGAUAUGUUCAUCACUGGUAUAUAACCCACAUCCCUUCCAUCCAUAUUGUCAUAAUACGCAUCAUGUGCCCGGCACAUGUGUCCGCAUAUCUUGUCCUUGGCACGUACUGUUUCGCAGUUGAACCCAGACCGUGCCUACUCUUCUUGUACCUUGUACAUGACACCCGGACGACUCAUCUUGUACCUCGUACAUGGCAUCAGGAUCACUCAUGCUUGGUACACGACACUUGAUUGUAGUAUACUCCACAUGCACGUGAUCGCAAGGCCAGCCCAAUAUGUGCCAGGUACAUGUUUCCGACUUGACUACGAAUUGACCGUCCUAUGGAAACGUAACUGUUGGCCUAUGACAUCGGAAUUUCGUUUACAAUCUAACAUCACACAUAUAUUCAAAGCAAUGAAAAUCAUGCAAACUGGUCGUCCAUAUCUUGACAUCCAUACCAAGCAAUUUAUAUAUUUAGUCGUCUCCGAAUACAUUAGCUCACACAUAACCUUCGAACCCAUUCGUUGGUUUGACAGCAUAAUAUAUAGGUCCACCAAGACAUUCUAGUGCAUUAACAUACAAACGUUUGGGACCCAUACAGAUACGGUCCCAUGCAACAUGUGCCCCUAACAACAUUCGCCCCUUACAUUCAUUCGAGACUCAAUUUUGUAUCAUUCAUCGAUAGACUCGAUGAACUGAUGUGACCUCUUUGCAUUGUUCCCCUUGAGAUGUAGAAUGUUGUAAAGGUAAUAUGCCGCCAGAGAACUGUCAUCGUCCUGGAUAUGAUUGCGGAAACGUGAUCAAAACAGUAGUAACAAAUGAUUCAGGUAAUUUGAACCUGUGAUGUCCUAUUCUAUCUUUUUGGUCUUAACGACUACUAAAUUAGCAUACUUACCACAUGAAUAUUAUCUGUCUCUUGGUCACCGAUGAAGUUCCUGCAGAAGUUCAUGGUGUAAAACCCAGAUAGGUGCCUGCAAUGACGAUACGUAAAUAUGAUGAAUUUCUUGAAUCACGGAAAAUUCAACGGUAUAUCGUAGUAAUAUAUAACAAUUUCUUCCUAUGACUGGAAACACUUGUUUCGAGAAAUGGAUGUAACUGGAUGUAUUCUGGUUCUAUUUACGACCAUUUGUAUCCAUUUUUUCGACAAGUACUUACUGACGAAGGGAUUAAUAUUGAACGUGUCCUUAUCGCAAGAGAAACCAUGAGAAUUCAUUGAUUACCUUUCAGACACUUGACGUUUAGGAUGAAUAAUAGCCGGUUCUAAAUCACCGAACCCGAAGUCCCAAGAUUCAAAAUAUGUUUUUGCAAACUCAGACAUAGCAGACUUCAACAGGUUGCAGUUUCUCAUAUGUAGCUGUUUGAUUGCUCCACCAUUCUCCGAUGCUAAUGUCGGGUCAUAGAUGAACACCUUCUUUUUAAUUGUAUGUAUUGCAUAACAUACCCAAGCGAAGCUGACGUAGGCCGGAAACAUAAUCUGCAUCGCAAUUAAAUAUCCGUUGGACAAAAAAUUACUCAAUUUUUCAUUCCAACAUGAAAAAAAUUGUAUGCCUGCUCAUAUUCCAGGAUACAUUUUACAUACCAGCAUACAAUUUGGUACGUCAUAGGUGAUAUGAUCUCCAAUGAACUGACCCCGAAUGGAUUUAUGCUGACAUGGCAUAUCUCCUGCCAUCACACGCAUCUGCCAAAAGGGACAAAGUAGCAAGUAGUGUCCGUAAACCUUGUGUCCUUCUCAAAUACAAAAUAGUCUUGAAUAAUCUUAUAAACGGAUGUCGGUGAGGACGACCUUGUCUGCUCACCGAGGUACCAGUAGGGAGGAACAGAGUCAGCUACUGAACUUGCAGGAGUGCCCAAAUUGUCCGAAGGACAUGCGCUGGGGGUGUGUGAUGACUGAUUUGGUCCUUGACCAUCACUACUCCCACCCGCAAUGCCAUCAUUUCGCCAUGAUCCGCAUGAUGAUGUAACACCUUGAGAUCCGUUGUUAAUGUCAGCAGCAUCCCCAUCCGAUAUAUAUUCGAAUAAAGCAUAACCACCAUCUUGAUAUCUAGAGCUGACACUCUUAUUCUUGCCCACCUUUGGUGACGGGGUGAAAUCCAAACCGAAAUCAAAACUCGGCUCAUUGUCCCAGCGAACCGUGUUCACACGUUACCUAACAUCCAUUGUGUUCCCCUCAGGAGUACUAGCCAGCAGGUCGGCCACAUUGAGAUCGACAUCCAUCUCAGAAUUAGACCUCAGCCCCCACCAUGUUGCGAUGCUACUGCGUUGCUUGUUGCAUCGAUAUCCACACGAGGGCGUUUAUUUUGCAUAUGGAGAACGAAAGCUUCAUCGUUCCUCUUUUCUGGGAUGCUCACAUUUGCGAUCCAACAUAUAAAACUGAUGUCAACAACUUAUUAGUUUUACACACGUAUACAUAUGGGAUGCAUGCUAACAAGACUAAUAAAAAUUACGUGUCUGACAUGUCGUAACACGUACCAUCAGAAGCCAUAUCAGCCUCCACUGUUGACGAUUUCGUGGCAUUGUUGUCUCUACUUACAAUCGUCGACCCGGAUGCAUGCAUUACACCCUUAUUACGUGUGAAGUUGUUGUCAUUCAACAUUCUGUAUAUCUUCCCAUAAAAUUUUGCAUUCAUAACUUCAACAUGUUUAAUGAUGCCCUCUUGGUGUGCUUUCAGCUCAUUAUAUAGGUUAAGUUUGGCCUGCACACAGAUCAGUCAUAUGGUUUCAGAAAAAUGUAUGCCAUCAAUUAAAAAGGACUGGCUCUACGACAACGCACAAAUAUGAUGUGAAACACCGCUGCGGUCAGGAAUGUCAGCUGAUGCGUCAAGCCCAUAGCAUCACAAAUCUUGGUUGCACAUGCCCAAGCAUCCCCCCUUGUUGCGCAUUAUCUUGGUCAUCUGCCCUGGAAUAUGCUGAACUAUCAGCAUCACAUGGCUGCAAAACGAAACACAUAUAAAAGAUGAGUAUGCCCUAUCAGCGAAGUUGCGGUGCUAAUCUGGAUACUGAACUGGGUGGGGACUUACUGCUGAAAUCCCAUAAAUGAAAUCUCCGUUUUUCGAUGAAUCCAUUGGCCUUUUGUCGGCAUUGAUCAUGGCUCUAAUUUUAUCCGUGGUGAAAGCUUUAAUUAUGGGGAACACAUCAUGUGUCAUGCUUAAAUCCCCCAACUGAAUGUUGUCUAGAUAGAAAACCUGAGAUACAUGCCGAAAAACAAAACAACAAAAAACAAUAUUAAUAACCCGUCGUUUAUCAGAUGCGUAUACUGUAACAUCAGCUGUGUGCUGAUGAAGUAAUGAGGUAUCUGAAACGUCUUGACCUGUAGGAAGAGCAGACAUCCUGUUAUGUUCGACACCGUGGCUUUCCUGCUAAUAUCUUGUUUCAUCUUAACGGCGGCUGCGCACAGUACUUCAACAAUAUAUCUUCCCCAAUUGAACUUAUCCAAGCUAUCCGGGUCGACCAAUGCUGGCCAAUAAUCAGUGUAGAAGUAGUCAUUCUUGACUGUCGGUGCAAAUACAUGUGUCAUCAUGAAUACGAUGUACGCAGUUUUGAAUGCAACCACCUCUGUUUGUGACAUCUUCCCCUUGUAGUCACGUGACAGUAUGGACUGUAUGCUCUUCAGACUUCUUACCUCCUUGUUCUCUAUCCCCAAACGACCACGCAAGUAUGCAUAUACAGUGUCACUCCUAUCAAGAGUUUUGUCCAUGAUAUCUGUUCCAGCUGCCGGGAUUCCGAAUACCUUCUCAACAUCACUCUCAUUGAACUUAAAAACCUUAUUCGGUCCCAGUACAAAGGCUUGUCUGACCUCAUCCACCAUCCCUAGAAGCCAGACCAUAUGCCUGACGCUUAGUUUGCUGAUCAGAGGCAUGUGUAGAGUGCCACCCCAACCCAUAGAGUUAACGAUUUCUCGUUUCUGCUGGUCAAGCUGCGAAAUAAUAGAGUACACCUUUUGAAUUGAACAUCUGAAAGUAGGGCCAUUAUACCCGUCGCCCCUGUCUGUUUCGUCCUCUUCAACGAUUGUGGGCAGCUUGUUGAGCUUGCUGUGGUUCUGCAGAUUCAGAGCAUUGGUCAAAUGUAGAACUCUUGAUACGGAUAAACAAAAACGUUGAUUUCUUUUCUACGGCUGUUACCCAACAAACACCUUGGCGCAUCCCAUCUAACAAAAAAGGCUAACUACAAAACCUUGGUACUUCUAAAACUGCAUCAGUAUCAGCUACCCUGCACUAUCCAAUCAGUACAUAAUGUGCAUAUUGUUUUGCAUCCCCGGAUCCCAGUAUCAACAGUGGGAGAUUCAAAUAUUAAGAUUACAUGCCAUCUUACCUGCAUAAUGGCUGAUUAUUGACAAACACCUGACGCUUAUUUGCUUCCCCAAACCUGACCCUAAUCUUGCCUGCAGAAGAAACAAAUCCAUGAAUAAUCUCAAUCCUGGUAUGCGCCCCAUCCCAAAAAACAUCCAGACCAUCUAUAAAACCUAUGCGAUUAGCUGAAAUCACAAGUUUACCUGGUGUAGCUCCGUUCAAUGGCUGGCGGCGCGAGAUGACCUGGGCGGCGGUGCCCGCCGCGGCCCGGCACUGGUCGUCCCCGGCGGCCCGCCCGUCCCGGCGACUCCUCUUUCACCAGGCACUCCUGCCUCCCGCAAGGAUUUGGCUUCAGUUCAUGCUCUGCCUUCCUUGGAUCCCCCUCCCCCGCCGCCUAGCAUGCUCCUAGAGGUACGAGUGGGGACGCAGAAAGAGCUUUCUCACGGGCCGCCUCCCCCCGUGUCCGAUAGUGUCUGAACUUUUCUCUAGCUGAACAGUACCCUAGGCUAUGAAAUAGGCAUAUCACGGGCGACGGGUACUACUAACCCACCCGAUGUAACCGUGGCCUGGCCAUCUUACAGUAAAGGCUGACGCAUAUCCCGAUGUAUAUGGACGACCCGGAUAAGAGGGCCGGGGUGCAGCUGUUCUAUUUUAUAUGUUCGCCCGGGGACGCGGAUUUUUCGAACAGUUGCACCGGGGCCGCGCUAUCGUAGCGGUCGAAGCGACGCGCUUUCCCUCGAGAUGCCCACCGCAUGAUAGCAAUUUAGUGCAUGUAUUACUGUGUCAGACUUCUGUCACGGAUCCUGUCGUCGUAGGGUAACAGCUCUACCGCAUCCUCUGUAUUUUUUUGUCUCUACCCGACCCCUUGCAUACCGACGCGGCCCGUGAGCACGGCUGGUAUUUCUCCCCUAUACAGUGCACUGCUCGGUCUCCUAAGUCUUCGCUGUAAUGGAUUGGGUGCAAGGAGGCGAGUCAAUGGCGCCGGCGCUCGCCGCACCGGGAAUCUCCCCGACGGCCGACUACAGGUACGUAUCAAGACUGGAUACUGGUGUACUAAUCACAACGCUCGUCCGGGAUGCGUUAUAGUCGACUUCUUAAGAUUCCCCAAGCGAGUUUCUGAAUCCCCUCUCCUUCUUGUUCCUGAGCCGGAGCACAGAUCCAACCAAGCCGCCGGCGACCUGUCCUCUGCAAUCAUGCCGAUCGAUGGAGGGUUAUCGGGGUCGGAUCUAUCGUGGCGUCCAGCCAUCCAGGAUAUCGCGCGAGUCCCAGACGAAACGCCAUACUCCAAGUAAGUUUAUCCAUCUUCAGUGUGUCCGAUCCACAAAAUCGCAGUAUUGAGCUCAUGUAUGUCCUCCUAAACUUUUGAUCUCAAAUUUUCAGUGCACACAUAGGGCUAGUAACGCCUCCGGCCACACUGAAGGGCGCGAAUGCAUGCGCCUACAACUCAGAUUUUAAUCCAGAUGUACGUGAUGAUGAUUCUGGAAGUGUUAUAGUUGUGCCUGGAUGGAAGAAACGGUAAACACAUCCGCCUACACAGAUACACCAUUUAUUCAGAACUGGGUGAUUCGCAUGUCACAACGUUGAAAAAACAUAAGUUGUCAUAAAUAUUUCCGAUAAUCGAGCUUAUUUUCAUAUUAGGAAGUCUGUUAAUGAUAGUUUUUCAAAAUGAAAUAAUAAUGUUCGGAUGUUGCCUGGUCGUAGUCGCGAUAAUACUACCAUUCCACAUCAUUAAACAAUUUUAAUAUGUAUUUUUAGCUGGGAUAUUAUGAUUUGUCGUAAUGAUAACAGAUUGCUUACAUUAUAAUCAGGAAUGUUGGGGCUAAUGGCCCUGACACGAGGACACCUCCGUCCACAAAGACGGCCAUCGAGCUACGUCUGCUCGAAAUGAAUGAUCGUAGAGGCAGUGAAAUCUUCGAGCCAGUGGUCGGAACCGACUUCGACUCAUGUCAAGAAGCAUAUGAUUUCUACAAUUUGUAUUCGUGGGAGCACGGAUUCGGCAUUCGGCGUGGUAGAAGCAGAGUUAACACAAACAAGUACAAGUUGAUGCACGAACUUGUUUGUCAAUGCGCGGUAUGUAGUAACUUCGUGGUCAUUCUUUUCCCAUCAAGAUUCUGUUCUCUACUAUAUUUCCAUGUGUGUCUGACCCGCUUUCACAUGUCGUGGAAAAAUUAUACAGGGAAAAAUUGACAAAGAAAACUCGUCAUCAUGCAAGAUCGACUGCAAGGCUAUGGUGAGAUUGCUGCGUACCAAGGAUCAUGGAUGGUACGUCAGUAUGUUUGUCAAGGAGCACAACCAUCGUUUGUUGGUUGGAUACGAUGCAAAACUCCAGUGGAAUUCACACGAUUUCAUAGACCCCGUUUCAUUUGACUUCAUCAAGAAUCUUCGAAGCAAUAAUAUCAGUGUUGGCAAGGUUUAUAACAUUUUGUGUGGAGCAGAAUGGAAUUCGCAAGCAAUUCCCUAUAGGAAGCAAGUAUUACGAACACUAUGUGCCAAAUUCUCUCAGGACACAAUGAAAGAUGAUCUGACAAAAACCAUGAAACUUCUGCAAGGUAUGAAGAUGGAGGACAUGAAUUUGAAGGUUGAGAUAGACGUAGACGGAGAUGGUCGUGUCCGUACAAUGCUAUGGGUAACAGGAAAAAAUCGUCAGGACUAUUUUCACUUUGGUGACGUCGUUACCUUCGACACAACAUACAAGACCAAUUUGUAUAAUAUGCCGUUUUCCUUGUUUGUCGGGGUAAACAACCACUUCCAGUCUGUUAUAUUUGGUGGUGCACUAAUGCGAGAGGAAACUGAAGCUGCUUUUAAUUGGCUGUUUAAGACUUUUGUGGCUCUGAUGAAUGACAAGCAUCCCGUGACGAUCCUAACAGGUAUUGGUUAAUCUAAUUAACACACCUAUUUGAUCACAAAAAUCCUACACAUCAUGAUUAGCCUGUGAUCUCAUGUUUAUAUAUAUGUGCAUUUGUUCAUCUUUCAGAUCAAGCUUUAGCUAUGAAAGGUGCGAUUGAGAGUGUUCUCCAGAACACUAAACACAGAUGGUGUAAAUGGCAUGUCCUCCGGGACGUUAAAGGAAAUAUUGGCCAUGUGUACAACAAGUCUUCUGGGUUCAAGAAGGAAUUCAACAAGCUAGUCAACGAUGUGAUGUGUGUCGAUGAACUCGAAUCCAAAUAGUUGUCCCUCGUGAACAGGUCCAAUGUCAGUGAUAAUUAGUAUAUGGUCAGACUAUAUGAUAAGAGGGCCAUGUGGGCAGAGCCGUAUUUCAAGGGAAUUUUUUGUGCUGGAGUGACAAGCACACAGCGUAGCGAGAGUGCUAAUCAUAUGCUGAAACAGUACAUACCGAGGUCAUCCCCCAUGCACGUGUUUGUUCGCCAAUACAACAAAUUCCUUGGGUCAAGGAUGAGCGAUGAGGCAAGGGAAUUCCAUCUAAAUGCAAAUGUAAGACCCACGACUCCGUUUACAUCUCAUUAUCUAAUAUCAUUAUGAAUUCUGUUAGUCGGUUUGCUAACGAGCCAUCGUUUGUGUGUAGAAAUCACGUACUUAUGAAUCCACAUGCAAUAGAGGAUGAUGCUGCAUCAAUAUACACACGUUCUGUUUUGCUGAAGUUCCAAGACGAGCUUUAUAAGUGUGGGAGUUAUGUAGUGACACCUGUGGUGCACGGUGCACAAUACAUGGUUAGUGUCACACCAUCCAAAGUAAAGGAUGCAACAAAGAGGAAGUGGAGAAAUGUCAAGAUCGAUGACGACAGGUAGUUCAUAAACUUCGAUUGUGGGAUGUUCGACCAUGUCGGUAUGUUGUGCAGACAUGCAUUGAAGGUAUAAUGAUGUCCGCACUGGUAUAAUGCGUUCUUUCCGUAUGGUUAUCUAUCCCAUAUUAAUAGCAAGUCCGUAAGAUAAGUAGUUGUAACCAUUCACCCCGUGCAGGUAAUGAUUCGUGAAGAUUUUCUGAAGAUCCCCUCUAAAAAUAUUUUGAAGCGAUGGACUAUAUGGGCAACCGGAUCUUAUCCAGCAGGCAUGGACAUGAGCGAUAACGGGCCACAUACAUAUGACACUAGAUAUCUAAAGAACCUCCUGCAUAUUGCUGUCGAGGAUCUCAUGAAUGCGAGUUCACAUGAUAAGAAGAGUUUAGAAGCUGCGGUAGAAGGGAUGGGCAAACUCACAGCUGCACUACGGAAGAACACUAGUAUGACUGAAACCAUCCAUCGUCUGGAACCGCCACACAUCGAGAGUUUCGUCAACAUCCACGUCAACACGGUUCUCGCUCCUGAACGGGUGAAAAAAAGUGGAAGGCCAGCGUCCGUGAGUCCUAAGUCAAAGAUGGAUUAUGCUGCAGCAUCUGCUAAGAAGAAAACUAAGAGUAAUAAAACUGCGAAGAAAAAGCCAUGUGGUGAGUUGAAGCCAAGGGAGCGUGCUCUAUCUUCCUUGUAUGAUAAUGACCAGACUACAGAUACCCCGUCUAAGGAGUUAGAAGAUGAAGUAUCGCCAAAUAUCUCCAGCAAGAAGAGGAAGGUAAUAUCUAGCACAUGCCACGAGCCUGGACACACACGUCUGAAAUGCACCAGAAGAGGCAUUGCACAAAACCUGUUCGAGUGCCUUCAAUUAUAAUCACGCCUGAACCUGGGCAAGUUGUGCACAAAGUUGUAUUUGUUUGUACUACUCACAUGCACGUUGGUGAAUGCUUCUUACCCAGAUUAGUUGUAUGCAUGGAACCAGUUUAGAUGUUGUCAUUGUAUUAUUGUUAAAAUUAGAUGUCGCAUUCUAGCGUUGUCUGCUUUGCACGUAUGCUUUUGUACGCUACGCCUAUAUUCAAAAUGCUUGAAAGUGCACAGCUUUAAUCGGGCACGUGUAGUGUGAAGCAAACGUAUUCUAAGUCUGCUUAUUUCAUAACAGCAUAUAAACUCAUCACAUUCGAAGAUCAUAUUUUCCUUAUAAUAUUUCGUAAAUUUACUUCCUGUACGAUCUUAUUUGCUGGAUCACUUUGUAGUAAUACACGCAUGUUUUAUGCCGCAAUUGUACGUGGAUGCCAUUAAGGUUUGCCGAUAUGUUAAAUGUUGUCGUCAUGAACCAUGUAUUUACGUCCCUAUGCGUGGAGGUGGAUUGUGCUACAAUUCACAUCCGCUUUGUGAUUUACAUGGUUUAAAUUUACUUGCCUCGAUGUGAACUAUCUGUUGGUACAUAAUGCUAAAAUGUUGCAUGAUGCAGGUUGAAAAUGUAUGAUGGCAAAAAGAUGGCACCCGACGCAUUGCCAUGAUAUAGAUCGUUGAAGGCACGACCAUGCUUACAGGAGGUAUGUAUGCCGUCGGUGGUACCAUAUACCACGAUCUUUUCAUUUACUAAUAUUAAUAUUUACCGAUUCAACAUGAUUUGCGUUUUGUGUUCAUAUGUUUCGUCCAGUACUGGGCUGCUGAUCAUGUUAGAUUUUACAUAGACCACGUUUUACUGCAUGUUCGUAACAACGAUAAGAAUAAGCCAAAUAUUUUACACUUGUAGCCACGUUGUUAUUAAAAUAAAACCAUGAGCGUGGAGACGUGCAACAAACUUAAUUGUCGAUAACACUCUCUCGAGAGAACAAAAAACACAUAAUGAUCGAAACAAGAAUACCCCAACAGUGUGAUCGAAACACAUAAUUAACUUGAUGUUCGUACCGACACACAUACUUAAGUACCAAAUACAUGGAUAACGACAUAGGCAUAAGUUCCAAACCAGACCAAAUCGCAAAGCCGGUGCAUCAUAAGGCAUCCGGUACAUAAUACGACAUAACCGAUAUAACUAAGACUUGAUGAUGAACAACAUCAACGUGCGAUCUUGAAGUCGAUCACCGAUGGUACCACAUAAUAUAGCUAAUAUAGAUAAUGGAUAUUGUUGACGCCUCCAUUCUUAACAGAUCACUCCGUGAAGCUUGCCCCGUCGAUCAUGUUCUCAUUUUACUCCAUGGUCAGCAGAAGGUAUGCGAGUGCUCUCACGAACCUCUUCAUAGUCUGCGUGAAACCACGAUGACAGAAUUUUAGAUAGAUAGUGUUGGAUCAAAGAAUGACAUGAGAAGUAAAGGUUUGGCUUAAUGAGGAUGAUUGUUCACUAAUAUACCUUGUCUCCAUGUUUCGGGACCCUGGUGUCACCGAAAUGCCAGCAUGCAUAUGCCGCCUCCAAACCAGUGUAUCCACUGUGGAAUAAAAAUGCAUUUAUUUCAGAUAUCAACUAAUUUAAAGCAUGUAUAUUUGAUCUGCGAAAACAUCAUAUGAUGUUGUAGACAGUACCGUUUGAUCUCUUUUCUCCCAUGCCAUCCCGGUAAGAACUCCCAGUCUUUAACGUCCCAUUCCGGUUUUCCCCUUAUGAGCUCAACAGAGUAGUAUAGCGAUUUUAGAAUGGUUUCAGCCUUGUCUUGGUGCCUUUCAGUCAUAGUCCUGCACGACAUUGUUGUGCAAUCCACCAUGUAUGCCUUCUUUGAGUUUGUGUCAUAAACAUAUGUCAUCCAUAUAUCAUUCUCCUUGUGCGGUAUGACGAACUGCACGAUUCACAUCGAUCAUUCCGGGUUUAAGAGUUGCCCCGCAUCAUAAGAAAAAGUUUUUGUAUUAUCUAGAUGUAAUGACUCGUGAGUACCUUAUCACAGAACUGCGGGUUAUGAGUCUCCACACCACCAAUAUUAAACAUGGACAUAACAUAGUAUAGCGGGAAAUUGCCUCCGUCCUCUUCUAUGGCGAUUUCCUGGCAACCAAAACAAAAUAAUGUACGUUAUUAGACGAAGCAUUAGGAUCAACAGAAUAAAGCAAAACGUUGCUUGCAUCCUCGUCUACCAUAUAUUUCUAUAUAUGUGGGACGCCAUAUGGAAUUACACUUACAGCGAAUUCAGGUGGCAGAAAAUGCGUGCACUGGCAAUUAGGAUUGUUCUUUCGGUGGUCCGACUUGUCCUGAAGCUCGUUAUACAAGCAUGCUAUGGCAGCAAAAGUUUUCUUAGUCACAUCCGACUGCUCUGUCAACUCAUUUAUGAGAUGCUCCCCAGCAAUGAUCUCAGAUACAGGAUACAUAAUUCUGAUAUAAGACCUGACACAAUCGAUUGAAUGUAGGAUUAUCAGCAAAUGAUAUGAUUUUGUUAUCAAGUCUACAACUGCACAAGCACUUAAGGUAUACGCACCUGGACGUAUCAGUCAAGGGCCCUGGUUUUACCAGAUAUUGGAACAAAACCUUUGCCCGUUCAUACGGGCAUAAAUCCUUUAGAUUGUGCCAAAUGAUGGGUACUCUGUUAUCUACCAUGAAAAUGUUUUGGUUUGCAACAUGUUGAGUGUUGUCUGGCACGACCUCCUCAAUUCCAAUGUCCGAGGCAGGACCCACAUUGGCGUUUCCAGAUAGAGACCUAGCCAAUGAUCCCCCCACAUUUGAUGCACCUGAAAAGAUAACACAAGCACACCGAUAGUCAAUCGAUGUUGGUUUGGCAUCGGGAGGGGAUGGGGUGGGGUGGGGUGGGGUGCUGUUGUGUUGUGCGGGUGGACUAGUAUCAUGAUUGAUUUUUGUUCUGUGAUCUUACCAUCGUCGAUGCUGUGUGUCACCGUAAUGCUGGGUGGCGCACCGCGGUUUAAAGCCGGAGAUGGAUAUAUACCCCUCUCGGCGGCUAUGGACACCAUGGUUAGAAUGUUGAGCACGUCUGUAUGUCAAGUACAAGAGAUUCAUGACCAUUAAUAAAAUGUAUACAAAUACAACCGUGUAACUGGUGCAACACGGACCUAUUGGCCGGAUAUUGUUGAGAUGGGGUGGUGACGGAUUGUUUAAGUGAGUUUAAAUAACAAGACACUCGUAUAAAAUCAUUACAGUAUGGUGACUAUCGCUUGUGAUAUGAUAUAUUAUUACGGGUGUACAAACAGGGUAAUUCAUGCUAACUAUAAGUUUGUGUAUGAAUGUUUGUAAUGAUUAAAUAAAGAGUAGGUUGAAUUGAUUUUUAUUUAUACACGUCUUUGAUGGACCUAACAACAUACGUUCAACCAUUAUAUUUCGGUAUGGUCCAUAUUGUUAUAAUUAAUGCAGGGGGCAUUUAUGUUUCAUAACAGUAAACUUAAUGGGGACUCACCAUCCGGCAUUGGGUUGGGGACGCCCGGUGGGACGCCACGUGAAGAGACAUCUUCUCCACCAGCGAUAUCAGCCGGACGCUCAUUCGUAUCCAUCAUAUAUAUGUGGCCCGCAGCAUUCAUACGAUAUGUAUUGUCAUGGCGACGAUUUACAGACCCCCCAUUGUUACUUGGUAUCACAGGAACCGCAUCAGCAUUGCCGAAAUUAUUUUCGGUGCAAUCCCCUGCAGGUGCAUUUUCAUUUUGGCGAUCUGAUUCGUGUCCCGGUUGGACGCUACGAGUGUCAUCGCGUGCAGCAACAUCCUGGGCAACGUCUUCUCGAAUGUGUUCGUCUGGCCAUGUGGAUUUUCAGGAUAAACUUAUCAAUAUGAUCAACAUGGUUAUUGAUACUGAAUGCAUAAAUCAACUGUUACACGCAUCAUUGCUUACUAUGCAUACCCUGUAUGUCUUCUGACAUUGCAGGCACCAUUGGCUCUUCAAAGCCAGUAUGGUCCAGAUUCGCAGCUUCAUUCUCGCAUACUACACGGGGCGCCGUUGGUAAAUCAUCUGCGCCAUUCAGAUGCACAUAUGAACGAUGUUUGAUUUAGUAUGACAGGUUAUCAACACAAUCGUCCCGGAAUGAAGUUGGGCACUAUGUUUACCUUCGGCUAUAUGUGACACACGAUCUAUAUGUUGAUCAGUUUUUCCUGCUGAUUGUUCAAUUGUGGGCUGACUCAUACGCAUUAACAUAUAAUUGAGAGCUGCAAAAAAAUUGAUGGCCUUGUGUUAUUGCUCGGUUGCAUCAAGAUAUAUUACUUUAUCAGAACGUUUUGGUAUUUGAAGUUUGUGUUUUACCACCGUUUUGGGAGCCGUCAUCCGUGGGAUUGCUGGCAUUCUGAUCAUUCGCACGAUCUGUCGAAAUAACAUCAUACAAUUUUGGUUAUCUACAAGAUUUUGGUCUGGGGUUUGAAUCAAUAAUUAAUGCCGAUAUCUAAGUCGCAUUAACUGACCUGCAUUCUGUUCGUUGCCAUCAUCAGGUAGCACAAUAGGGAAUGUAGCAGUGCCAGGAACUUUUGGCAAAUGUGUCACUUUUGCAUGUGCGGCCCUUCCUGUAAUUUUACGAUCAUUUAGUUCUCAAUACCGAGUACGUGAUGGUGUUUCUGCAUUAUGCAUAAGGCAUACACAAGUUCAUACUUGAAUGAUAUUUGAAAGACAGCUUGGCCUUCAGCCUAGAAUAAUUGCUAGUGUUGCAUCCGUCGUAUGAGCUGUAUUCCCUCCUAUUGAACUCUGUACAUUUGCAUACAAUGAUUUGGUAAGGUCAGUUCGGAUGGAGGUGAUAUUGCACUAAAUGUUCACUAACUGUUUCCUUACUAAAGUAAACAUGGGAAAGUUUUACACGAGUAUUAUAUUAAGUCAUUCCGAGUUACCAGUCAAUAUCGCAUUAUCUUGAGAGAACGUUUUUUCGUAAGUGGCGUCCAUAUUGAGUGGCCUUUUACCUGCGCCUAUUUAAAAUGUCGUGUUAACCCAUGAUCAUAUAACGUCUGUAUCAUGUAAACACGUGGCAAAAAUAAAUUUGAGAAAUGAAAGCCAACACAAACUUGUACUUACUUUCUCUCGUUCUAACUUCCAGGUUUGGGAUCCGUCGGCGAGAAGUAUUUUCGCAGUCGGUCGGCUCGAUCAUGUGGACCGGACGUUUUGCUGGGCAUGUAGCUACACGCUUGCCUAGUACUGCAUCUCCCAAUCCCGGAAGCAAUCCAUCCCUGAUGAGCAUCUUCAAGGCUGCACCAGCUACUUUUGUUGCUUUCUGUAUCCAAAAUCACGUUAUGAGUUAUGGAUCUUGUUUGCUAGAAAAUGCUUAAAUGGUUGUUAUCAUAAUUCGGAAGCCAGAAAGGAAUAAAGGGAAAAUAUUUUUGCUGGUGCAUGGAAUAAAACAUAAGAAAUUUUGUGUUUUGUUCUGUGAAUUUGAUGCGGGAAGAGUAGUACCUUGUCAUAAUCAGAAUCGUAGGAUUCAUGAUCGUCUGUGCUAUCUCGCGUGAUUUCUCGGUUAGGCGUCAAGCUAUUGUCCGAUGCCCCAAGGCGCGCUCUGUGAUCUCCUCCUUCGGCUUCAUCUUCUGGCUCUAAAAUGCGAGUACGUAAGAACUGAAAUGUCAAGAAACAGUCGGUCAGUAAGUAUCGGAAUCAUAAAAUGGUUUGGCGUGACAAAAUUCUCAGCAAGGUGGUCCAAAAAUGCAAACGACAUUAUACCUUGCGUAAGCCGUAUUUGUGAAGUAGGCCUGCCCUCCUGUGGUAUUUGGAUGAGUUAAUCAUGUUCUUCAUUACCGUCGGGUUGUAUGCUGCCAUGCGAGGAUCCUUAGACUCAUCGACUCGGUCAUUGGUGUUUCGGACCAGUUCCAUGUAUAAAGCCUGCGCACAUACGAUGUUAUAUAUACAUGCCUAAAAGGUGCAAACGAUUUGAACCGUGGACGUACACUAGGGGAGUAUGAUUGUUGUUACCUGAAGGUACAAGAGACAUCCCUCGACUGUCACUUUAGUCUUCAUUGCUUACCGUUCUUGGAUUGUGAUGGGAGCUUUCUGAAAUAUGAAGUCAACCCCGUACUGAGCCCAGUUGUACUGCUUGAUUCUUGAGACGUCUUUUAUCGCUUGAAGAACUUCCCUUGGUACAUCCUCGCUUGGCGCUACAACACUAGUGAUGACGAACGCGACGAAUGCACGUAGGAACGUCUCGUUCUGCGAGUAGUCCAUCUCUUUCCUUGCCAUGGCCUCCAGCACCCUACUGCAACGGUGUCUCUUGGACAGUGAUGCAAACUGCAAACAGCCGAUAGAGCAUGCAUGAGUCGGCGACUACCAAUGAAAUCAAGGUUGCAUUUACUACAUGCAUGCGAACACAGUUAUACACAUACCAGAACCUUGCCGUCCUCGCUAAGAUCGCCAUCUUGAGACAUGCAUGGCUGGAUGAUGACAUCUCCGCUUGGCACGCCCAUGAUCUUGCUGAACGAGCUCGCGCCUAUCGGCGCCGAGUUCGAAUGCCCAUCGACUAGAGCCUUGUCGAUGACACGAACCAGACUCACCAAGAAGACUGAGAAUCGUCUAUCAAGCUUGUCACACUCCGGGAUCUCAAGAAUGCCGUCAAACCCUAUGGACCUGAUUAGGCCCAUUUGGUACGACGUCAUUUUGUCGAUCACACGGCGGAGAAGCUUGAUGUUCGCGCUGCUGAAGUUGGUUUCGAUCUUUGUCGGAUCGUAGUGGUAAGUCGACUCGGCCAUGGGGUUGCUCAUCGCGGGGGCUUGAUGAAGGUCUCUGGUGGAUGGGUUUGACUGGAAGCUUUCGUUCGGCGAUGCAGCCGAUUCAGACUGCAUCUCUCUUCUCUCCCGGAGAUGAGCUCCAGGAGACCUCAAAUGGAUGGAAUGCCUGCAGGCUUGCGGUGGGCUGGGUGUGUGCCAAUGUAUAUGUUGUUCGCUUGGCAACCCUAAGGGACUAUAACAUUUUCAAAUGGAGGCGGACCCUUAGACUUCUGCAGCUAUGCUAGAACUCUAUGGUCAAGUCACUGUUUAGAUCAGAAUCCAGUUUCUCCAACGCAGCGUCCCACCUCCUGCUACCUGUUUUGUCUCUUGUACAUGCUCGUGAACCGGCGAUGCCGGAGGCGCAAGCCGGGUAGCCAGCACUCCCUAGACGUAUACGGUUGCUUGCCAGGGUUGGAAAAACGCCUUUUUCAUGGCUCUGUUGGGCACAUCGAUUCCAUAACCUUUGAUGUGCAUGGCCAAUGCAAACAUGUACAUCCCGUCCUUGCCAUGGUAACCACAGCACAAAACGUACAGGGCCAUUGUGUAGUACAAGUAGUACAACCCGCCAUCCAGUGACAACGUAUCGCCCGGCCGGAUUGCCGGCUUAAGUGUUUUACUGACUAACGUAUAGGUAUACGAGAAUGCAUCGGGACCUUACGAGUGUGGCUUAGGCAUCGAAGCGCGUGUGUACAGAAUGAUUCGGCAUGCGCAAUCGAUUAGCCAUCCUGACGCAUUAAAUGACCUGACCUGGAAUGCUCACUAUGCAUGGUUUUACGAAGGUCAUCUUGUACAUAUCCCAUGUAUGCAUAUAGUGGUCAUUGGUGUGUUAUGCCAUGAUGCACCAUAUGUAAAUAUUACAUAUAAGUACUGUAAAUUUGUGUGCGAUUUGAGUGUAUCAUCCAGGGCCUGACUUUUUUUAUACUUACUGUGUACGAUUUGUAUGCGCGCAAUAACUCAUGCAAAUCUUGUUGCAUGCCUUUUGCCAUACACAUCAUUUAUUUUAUGAUAUAGAAAACGGCCGCAAAUUAUUUAAAAGCCAAAUUCCGACGGGCGCUGUCUUAAGAAAUCAAGUUUGUUGAUUUUAUUUUGUUUUGUUUUGCCGUCAUAAGAAGUAGAAAUUGGUAUACCAUCCAUGGUGGACUGCAUGGAGUAAACCCCUCACUGAUGCCGCUUUGACGGCUUGUGUUGGAGGAUGCACCGAAAGUUUUAAUGUUGUGCCAAACCACGGAGACAGGGGGCGUGGUAGUGGGGUGUGUCGGGAAAAUACCCCGCGACUGAUAUCCAGACCAUUAAGCUCGGAGGUUAGUACCCGCCGAUGAGUUCAUUAGGACAAGAGCAGUCUUAUGUCACAUAUUAACGAUUAACCGGGAACUUCCUCCAUCCAUGUUUGGUACGGUCCACAUAUGCCCCCCUCCCCCACAAGUAUAUUUUGCCUGUACCCGCGGUUUAUUUCGAACACUAGCACCUGGGCCGCGUUGUUAUGCCAUUCUAAGCCUUGCACUUUACCUUUAGAUGGAUUGUCGUUAAUCCCACCCCAUGAUGGUUCCUGUGUAUAUUGUUUACUUGCAUCCGUUCCAUCAUUGUCACAUUGCGACGGCUAGAUUGCCAUCACAUUUUGGGCAUUUCAAAAAACGUAGGCAUUUGGCAAUGGGUGUUAUUUUUUUUAAGAAUCGUCAUUUGUCGCUGGUUUGUGCUCAUGCAUGUUCUCCCCGACAGCACUUCGCAUGUUGUACGUGUUAUCAUGUGCCGGACGAUCCAAGUAUAAGUAUUAUCAAAACGGAAAAUGGUGGAUGCCACAAAUGCCACCCGACCAUCUCUGGUUGAUCGUGGCAAUGCUGUUGUCUUGACCGAAGGUAUUGUUAAUGGUUUGGGAUUGAUACAUGUACCAACAAUCAUCCACGGUUAAAUAUGCAUCAAGUUAUUGAAUGUGGACCCUGUGUUGUUCGUUUAUUGCAUCGAUGCUUUUUUUUAGUCCACAUCCGCGCGACAAAAUGUGAAACUGCAUGGAGUAGAACCGUCACUGAUGCCUCUUCAAUGGCUUGGUUGGAUGGUGAACCAACAGUUAUGAUCCCGUGUCAAACUAAGAGGACAGGGGGCGGGUCAGAGGGGGGGAUGUCGUGAAUAUACCUCUCAGAUGAUAUCCCGACCCUUAAAACCCAGUGGUAAACACCCACCGAUGAAUUCGAUAGGAGAAGAGCAUGAAUACGCUUGAUGUAGCCGGGUUACGGAAGCCCAUAAGAUUGCUAUGCAUGGGUAGCAAGGUCCGACCAGUCCAGCAAAGAACUGUUCGAAGAGUCACGACCAAACGGAGGAAGCAUGACCCCGGCAAAUGUCAAACCUGGCCUGGGUUGUUUGGUGCGGCAGAUAAUAUGGGUGACCUUUCUAGUGCGGAAUAAGACCGAACAUGGGGGUGGCCCGGCGGAAUAUUUUUUUUAAUUUUCCAAUCAUCCCCUGUUUAAUAUAUGUAUUGUAGUUGAAAGAGUCUUGUUAUAGUCAUUUUGAAUCAUGAUGUACCAACAAAAGUGAUAUGAGUACUCAGGAAAAUGGUUGACACGAAAAGCAACAUGUUGAGACAUGUAUCUGUCACAUUGGGAUUGUUAGGUUUACACGCCAGCCGAAGACACAUGAGUUCUGGCAAUGCAAAAAACGAAUAAAAGUGUUUAGCACAUUUGCAGCAAACUCAAAAAUGGACUAUGUACGUUGCACGGUAAACGUGCAUAUAGCUAACCUGUCAUUGCCGCCCCAUCAAUGCCUUGUGUGGUAGGGGGCACCUAUAUGUGCCAUGCAAUGGCAGCAACGUAUGGUUAUGGGGCGGGGAGGGGGGAGGAAUGUCGGUGGUAUAACGUGUGUAGUACCAACCGGCUUGUAAGCCUAGUGGGCAGUACCCACUGACGGACACAAUAGAACAAGAGCCGUCGUAUCAUUAUGUCUGGUAACGCCGUGUUACGUAAGCCUGGAAGAUUACAUUGCAUGAUUGGCAAGACCCGACAAUGGAAGCAAGAAUUGUCGGAGGAGGCACGACCAAACGGAUGGAGCAUGACUAUGCAGAUGAUAAAACUCGGGCGAAGUUGAAUGGUGUAGAAGAUGAUACGGGUGACCACUCAUAGGUACUACGUGCCUCAACAUGGGGGUGGCUCUGUAUAAUAGUUUCUUUUUGCGGAAAGAGUAAGAGCCGGGAUGUAUCGCGGUUGUGCAUUAAAAGUCGGAACGUCAACAACCAUAUGAUGUGUGCAACCGAAUGAAAUACCCCAAAAACUAUUUUUAACUCCUCAACCACAUAUAAGAUGAAACCUAUUAUCAUUUCUGAAUAGGUCGAUGAAUCAUGCAUCGUUGGUGUCCGGUAUGAAGCUAACAACUUUGGUGUAUCGUUUGAUUUAUACAUACGACAUGCCCGGCUAUGAUCUAUCAAAUCAUUUGUAGUGAGCUUGCCAGGGCGUAACAUUUUUUGCUUAAUAUCCGUUUGAGAAUACAUAAAAAUUGUAAAUCAAUCGUCAUGUAGUUAUAUGAAAAACGGGAAAAACGACAACUUUCAAAUGAUACAUAUUUAAAAACACGAUAUCAUAUCAAACACCAUUCGCACCUAGUGACAUGCGUUCUAAAUGAUCAUAGGCGUUGAUGUACCGCGUUUUACUCGCACACACUAACAACUAACCCUGAUAUGAUUUAUACCCAAGCACACCAAAUGGAUCCACCACAUAAUGAUCAUCCGACCGAUUAGGUAAAUUGUGCAUACGAUCUACUUAUUUGACAAACACUAGCACUGGAACGGCCAGUAGUAUGCAGCAGCAUAUCAUCUUGAUGGCCUGCAAGCUCCCUUCUAUUUCUUUUAACUUACGGUGGAGCUCCACCAUUGCUCGUGCGGCUUCAACUUCACGCUGGUUGACCGCUUGCGACGUCACCGCUACAGCCUGGCCAGUGCCGUGGCCCAUCGAGCCUGCAUCCGUGUUGCGGUUCAGGAAUGCACGGAGAUAGACCUUCUCUGACUUGAAGAAACCACAUCCGUCCGGCCUCCCCUACAGUAUCACAACGAAACUACUACUCGGUCAAGGGGGGAAUCAUUAUGGAACCAAUUAUGCAACAAUAAAAUGAAUGUUUAUAGCAUCCUAUCUAAGACGUGAGAGCACUCUCAGGAUUUGGUCCACCGCGGAUUGCGGUGGAUAUACAUGCUUAUCGUGUAGUAUGGGCACUUGUAGAAUCGCUACCCUUCGGUCUCGGGCCUCGUUGAAACGAUCAAUUCCACUUGCGUUCUUCCGCAGAACGGACAUGUGAUCAGAGGCAAUGGGGCGCCCGUGUUCGUCCACCCAGCGGACGAACUUGUCGACAUAGCUAUAGAGGCCGAUCAGACGGUGGGAGACUAGAUGAAUAUAUCUAGCUGCGUGGCUUGUAUGGAUAUAUAUAGCCUGCUUGGAUGUGUAUGAUUGCAUAUGCGUUGUGCGCGCCGAAGACAUGCAUGGUAUUUCUUUUCUUUUUGUGAAUGGUAUCUUGUCUCACGGGUGAGAGACUUUCUAUCAUUUCGAUAAAGCAUAUGUUUACUCUAUUGUUUUACCGUGGGCUGACGUUGAUGCAACGCCCCGCACGACGUAUUCACCUCCAUGAGACAUGCUGUAAAAAAAUGGAAUGAUUUAAUAAUUAUAUGGUUCAACUUUGGCACACACGUACGAACCAGCGGGACAUAAGCUUUGGCUUCGACCUACACGCCUUCAUGGUCUUGUUACGCAUGGAAUCUACUUUACCCUGUCCGCGUGCCGGUUUCUGAAAAAAUUGGCAACCGUAACGUCACCUCUGUCUGCGCGUCUUACAUGGCGGAUGGAUCAUUUGUGGAUUGUAUACUCACUCUUCACUCACACUACUGCAGUCCCGCCACAGAAAAUCAAAGGGCAUCUCCGCGCGCUACCACCCGUGGUUCACCCUGCAAUGAUUCCUGCAACGCCAAGUCCCUAUGCCUGUAUAGAUUCUUCUGUAUAUUCCAGCACAGACCUUGCGUACUUAAUGUUUGUUUGAAAUAUGAGCGGGCUGGUUUUGCUUCCGUAAUUGGUACAUACGCUACCACUCAAAAAAGGUCAGUGCUUGCGUGACCAUGUGUUAUACCUAAGAUGAUACGAGGAUCAAUCAUAUGAUUAUGCAUGAGCUAGUCGUAUUACUACAGUAAAAAUCAUGUUGCUAUCCCACGCCCCACAACCGGUGAUUCACAUACUCAUGGCGUUUUCUGGCUACCGAGGUCUCUGAAAAGAGUGGUAAGCGGCAUGGGUCUGUGACGCCGGGCCUCGCUGCCACAUCGUGGUCCGUGCCUUGUCUCGGCUUGUGCGUACCUGAGUGCGCUGCUUCUCACGAGAGAACAGCGCCGCGCCGCCGGCCAAUGCAUGUUAGUCCCACCGCUGGCACCUCCCACCAAGCAGUUAAAAACAAAAGACCCAUUACAAUCCACUCCCCGAUGCAUGCAUGCACCCGUGAGCCCCCGUGUCUCCACCACCCUCACUGAAACUCCUUAAAUGGAUGUGGGCGACCAUUGCAUUUGUACAUCACACGCAUCGCGUCGCACUCAGCCACCACAACACUUUCAUAGUUUUUAGACAUGUCGGCACCUCGUCGCUCCUCGUCCGGACCACGGGGCAGCACGCAAGGCCAGAACGUAGGAUCUGUGAGCAACUCCUAUAUCUCUCGUUCUACGGCUGCUCGCAGGGCCAUGCAAGCUCCCAGCCCGGACGCUCACGGCGAUGGUCAGUAAGACACUUUCGUAUUUCCUACUCACCAUGAUGUACAUACGUGUUUUGCGUUGCCGGGUUAUAACCGUAUUGUGCAUAUUCUUUCAGCUCGCACGUGACGACAUGCUCGUGCCAGUCACCGUCAAGAUGUUAGGCGACGCAUCUGUACGCACAGUUGAUGGCAAUUGUCCGGUUACCAAUGGCUAUUGCCCGUCCACUGUGAUUCCACCGUUCCCAUUUCCGAAUUAUUUAUUGCCGUGCUAGAUAAAUUUACCAAUACCCAAGUCAUUAAAAUUGAUAGGUCACCUUGGUCGGACGACUAAUUACACCAUCUGCCACUGGAAACUCUUAUCGAUUUGUCGUGGAUGAUGGCACCGGCAGGAUCGUUUGCACCUACUGGUAGGUGGUAAAACAAUUCAUAUGUCCCGUUGCUAAAAAUUGUUGUCCACAUAAUAUUACUGAUCUGGUGCUAUCCACAGGAUUGCUGGGCACGGUGGAGACAAUCGCGUCAUGAACAUACCGUACGUCUCGGAACGAUAAACAUUGCUACACAUGUAUAUGACCCGACAAACACGGAACAUUAGUAAAAAUUAGGCACUUGAACACAUUUAGUGUGAACUAUCAUAUUCACAAACGCUUCGCUGAAUGUGAACUAGUGUUGGAGACUAUGUGGAUGUUAGCGGGCGUCCAGACGUGAACUCGAACACCCCUACGAUCACCGUGUUCAGUUGCAGGUGUGCAUGAUUUCACUGAUAUCAAUGGAAUCAUCUUGCUUGGCCAAAAAUGAUUUUCUAACGCAUUUGAUUUCGUGCAGACCUAUUGCUCCGGAUUUCAACCGUAUUGCACUUCACUUCCUGCAAACAAUUUAUGCCUACCUUGAUCUACAGCGUGUACGCUGCAUUCCCCUGUCUUCUUUAGUUUCGUAAUCAUUGUUCAUACUGGAUGAGUUAUAUGUUAACAAUAACAUCUUUUGUUUGUCUUUUAUGCCGUACCAAAAAAACAGCCUCCUCCCGAAACGCUCAUUACGGACAUGUGCAAUUUGCUGGGAGACUACCUCGACACUGGGUAUUUAUUGAUUUGAUUUUCUAUGCGUAUGAUCCAUACUAUGGCUGCCAAUUGCAAAAUGGGAAUAAUUCCAACUGUUUUAUGAUGCAGUGACGAGGGUUUACCCUUCUCGUGGAUCUGCACAGGCACCAGCUUCAAUCAUGUCAUUGUUAGGUAUUUUUCGUUAAAAUGUGUGAAUUCAAAAUAUAAACCCAUAAACGAAAAUAAACAUACAACUAACAUUACAAAUGUGUGGUUAUGUGAAGGAGGGCUUUGGAUAUCCUUGUAUCUCAUGAGUUGGCCACAUAUGACCCUGCGGAAGACAAGUACAGUCUACCAUGAAGUGUAUUCGUCACCGGAGGAUCCAGACCAACAACACGCAAUUAUGAUGCGUGCUAUAUUAAGUCGUGUCAAUAAAGAAAAUGCGAGGGGAGUGUCCGCACACCUGAUCGCCUGAUAGCAUGUCCGGCGUCAUAUCCCCAUCGCAUCAGUGUGGUUUCAUGUUAUAGUUAUGUAACGCUAGUUAAUCUAGAAGUACGUAUUGCGUAUCAGUGGUCAUGUGUGACCCGUGUCUAAAUCGCCUUGUAUCGUUAUUAUUUACUGUUUCGCCUAUGCCUUAUCCCGGCAACAUAUUAGGUGUAUUCGGGCGUCCUGCAUUUUUGGCGUCCGUUAUGGAUUGUAAUGAUGUUUGUCGAAGUUUGAAUAAUGUUGUGUCUCUGCAACUAGCAUCAUUUGUUGUUUUUAGUGGUCACCUUAUGUUCUUCCAACCGAUCGAAGCAGAUCUUGCACAUCCUACAUGCAUGAUCCCGAAGAAAGCCGUUGACCUCAUUGAGAGCAAUGCGGGCGUCUUGGACAAUUCAGGCAGCAUCGUUCAAGAAAUCAAAAGAUGGCAGGCUCGUCAUUCAAGGAGGUUUUCGGAAGUAUGUCGAAAAUCUCGAAAUGAAGUAAGAUGAUAUUGUGGUCAUCACUUUUCACAAACGCGCUGGUUCUGCGUCCAUGACCGUCCGGGUGUGCAUCUUAUCCUAAAACACCUAUGUCGUGCUAGUGUCUAUUUAAGGCAGCUUAUUAGUCCCUAUGUGCCUCCUCGCUAAUCGUGCAGCAUCUCAAUGCCUGCCCUUUUGUGAGAACUGAUGAACCUGGAACAUGUAACCUUCUGUGUGUGGUAUGUGACUAUGUGACUUUUCCACCUAUGCAUGUCCGUU
This 24666-nucleotide long non-coding RNA is filed under the name Triticum aestivum (bread wheat). RNAcentral's name for it is "long non-coding RNA (TAES_LNC028457)". The record is from RNAcentral. Lineage: Eukaryota; Viridiplantae; Streptophyta; Magnoliopsida; Poales; Poaceae.